This 254-nucleotide ribosomal RNA is filed under the name uncultured bacterium. RNAcentral describes it as "partial 16S ribosomal RNA". It matches the Rfam family "Bacterial small subunit ribosomal RNA", at positions 524 to 776 of the family's 1533-position model. The record is from RNAcentral.
CACGUAGGGGGCAAGCGUUGUCCGGAUUUAUUGGGCGUAAAGAGCUCGUAGGUGGCUCGGCAAGUCGGGUGUUAAACCCCCAGGCUCAACCUGGGGACGCCACUCGAUACUGCUGUGGCUAGAGUCCGGUAGGGGAGCGUGGAAUUCCUGGUGUAGCGGUGAAAUGCGCAGAUAUCAGGAGGAACACCAGCGGCGAAGGCGGCGCUCUGGGCCGGUACUGACACUGAGGAGCGAAAGCGUGGGGAGCAAACAGG